CCCAUACAUUUCAAAUGAAAUUGCACAAUUGAAUACAACACGAGAAAAAUUGAAAUAAUUUGUACAUGGGUUGACUAAGGAUGGUGUAACAGUGAUUAAGAUUUCGUUUUGGAGUACUGCUUGGUUUAAUCUGCAUUUUCUUUAUUCAUGGUAGUGAACUGAUCACGCGCAUAAAUAUGUAUAUAGUCAAAUAUCCUCCUGACCAAGUCCUUUUGUAAAUUACUUAGCAUGUGUUUAUUUAAAAGAUAAGACUUUGACAAUACAUAUUUGGCAGUAAGAUAUUAUAAAUUUUGUUAUAAUGUUAAUUAAAAAAGCUGUUGUUUGUGUCUAUAAAUACAGAGAUCGGAAGGCAUAGAUGUAUGCAGUAAUAAUUUAAUUUGGCGAUGACCAUGAAGAAGGGUACUAUUGUUGUUAUUACAUUCUUUCUUUUGGUUUGUGUUAUGUUUCUUCCCACCUCAACUUUUGGUCGAUCUGGACCACCCAGUGGAGGAAGCACACCACCUCCGAUUGCUAGAUGCGGCCCUUAUACAGGUAUGUGUGUUCGUCCUGGUCACACACCACUGAAACCCGGUGGUCCCGGAGGUCCCGGUGUGUCCAAAACAAAAACAUAAUUUGCCAAUGACCACAAAAUUCCAUGAAUAAAUAUAUUCUCUUAUUGGUGUGGAUUACUGUUUACGGUUUACGGUUUAUUGUUAUCAUUUUCCAGAAUGUAUUUCUUUAAAAUCCUAAAGUGUACUUUCGCUGAGAUCCUAUACAUAUUUUCUAGCUAGUUUAGGAGGUGAAAAAUAGUUAAACGUGUGCCUUUGUAAACUCAUCCUAAUAAAUAAAAACAUACAGCUUCAUUAUUAUUAUUAUUAUUAU
Molecule: non-coding RNA, 861 nt
Organism: Arachis ipaensis
Lineage: Eukaryota; Viridiplantae; Streptophyta; Magnoliopsida; Fabales; Fabaceae
Source: RefSeq, a predicted model, not a curated record